Hypomesus transpacificus is the source of this 1501-nucleotide long non-coding RNA. RefSeq lists it as uncharacterized. NCBI's taxonomy places the organism in Eukaryota, Metazoa, Chordata, Actinopteri, Osmeriformes, Osmeridae. The transcript has 2 exons. The record is from RefSeq and is a predicted model, not a curated record.
AUUUGGCACCUGUCGGUUGCAUCACCUAUAAGCAUUCUUGGUAGGGCUAGCCAUCAGCCUAAAUGUUUUAGCUGGUUUGUGUGAGAGGAUGGUGAGCGUGUGAUUUGUGCAUGAAAGUUCUGCUGACAGUUUAGGGCGUGUAUCUUUUCAGUGUCUUUACACAGUUUGGCGACAGAACGUCCACAUCAACGCUUCAGGUCUUGCACUGUCUGCAUAAUGGAUAGCAAUAACUGGUGACCUCGAAGCGCACGUGUAGGUAAGAUAUUUACUGCAUCUGUCCAUUUUGGCUGUCUAUUUUUAUAUGUUCGUGUCUGUUAAUUGUGGGAUUAAUUUACAUAUUUGAGCUCCCGCACCUCCCGCAGUUAGUAAAACACAAAGUGGUGAUUUGCCCAAUAACACGAUGUUAAAACGUCGCCGACUACAAUAGCUUUGCCGGGGCCGAGAAGGGGUCGAAUGUCUGUUUACCCCUCAACUGUAAAAUAUCGAUAAACUUAUAGAACUAAAAACUUGAUGGAUGCUGUCUGACAGAACUUAUCCGCACCCGUAUGGCAGUAUUACUUAACAUGGCUGUUCUGUAACAGGCACUUGCAAAGACCACAGUCGCCUACAUGAUCAAACUUGAACUGUUCUCCCGGAACACCGACUGCUUCAAUAUUUGUCCUGCUUCUCGUCACUUGUUACUCAUGCCGCUAGAAACUUUUGCUGAGAUGUUAUGACAAAUUUCAGUCAUCGUUUCUGGUAGUAGGGGUAGCAUAAAUUUCAGCAGCCACGUGUCCAAAGUCUGUAGUGUUAUCGGAACUUAAGAAAACACAAAACAUUUGAAUAUAUAUUUAAAGAUGAUUGAUUUGUGUAGUGUCCAGGGGCCUGUGGUGUGUGGGUGCCUUUGUAUACCUGUAUCAGUGAGAGCAGAGCAGAGUGGUGUGGUGGUGUUACCACACGCUAGGGAACCUAUGCUAUCUCAGGUAUGUUGGUGAACUUGCUCUGUGGAGAAACCAUCCAGUUUGCUUCCUCAUUCAACUCUCAAACCUGAAUUAAGGUGUGGGACUAGUUACUGACUCAUUCUCAGCAAAACAUUGACAACUAGGACUACAGUAUAUACUACACAUACAUGUAUAUAGUCACAUAACACAAUUUCCUAUUCUGGGACCAUAAUAUUAACCCAAAACGAUUACAUGUCCUGUAAUGUCACUAUUCAAAAUUAAUAAAAAAGCAUUAUACAUCGAGUUGCGUUGCCUGAUUGGUAUAUCUGGUAAAGACACUCCUUACGACAAAACAUAAUUUACAGUUGGAACAGGUUUGUCUGGUAACAGGUGUCUCUGAUUGAAAGGAGCUGGAUUGUCUUGUGAUGUAAAUAUUGAUCUGUAAUCUAACAAGCCCAAACUGGCAGAUCCCAUGUGAAACAUUCUUUUUUUUUUUCUUUCUUUACUUUUUAAAUAGUUUCUUUAUUCAAAUAUGUGUACUGUUACAUAAUGAUAACCAUAAUAAAGACAAAUCUGGUGAU